CCCGCACAAGCGGUGGAGCAUGUGGUUUAAUUCGAAGCAACGCGAAGAACCUUACCAGGUCUUGACAUCCUCUGACAAUCCUAGAGAUAGGACGUCCCCUUCGGGGGCAGAGUGACAGGGGUGCAUGGUUGUCGUCAGCUCGUGUCGUGAGAUGUUGGGUUAAGUCCCGCAACGAGCGCAACCCUUGAUCUUAGUUGCCAGCAUUCAGUUGGGCACUCUAAGGUGACUGCCGGUGACAAACCGGAGGAAGGUGGGGAUGACGUCAAAUCAUCAUGCCCCUUAUGACCUGGGCUACACACGUGCUACAAUGGACAGAACAAAGGGCAGCGAAACCGCGAGGUUAAG
Molecule: ribosomal RNA, 345 nt
Filed under: Bacillus sp. (in: firmicutes)
Lineage: Bacteria; Bacillati; Bacillota; Bacilli; Caryophanales; Bacillaceae
Description: bacterial SSU rRNA
Rfam family: Bacterial small subunit ribosomal RNA
Source: RNAcentral